UCAAAAUCUGAAAUCAAAAGGUUAUUAAUCUUGAUUUUCUUGACUUAAUUAAAUAAUUGCAGAUCAACAGCCUUGCUAAAAUUGCAAAUGUACCAUUUAUAUUUCCCAUGACAUGGCUCUCAAUUUCAAACUUCAUUGAAUGAAUUAAUCUCAAAUGGUUCAUUAAAUCCUUAUUAGUUUUAAAUGCGUUGUCACAAUCCGAUUCAAGGCAACGACUACUAAAAGUGGAGCCCUUUUCCUCUUGAUAUGAAUAAGCUACAGGUUCUGGAUGUUUUUGAUGCACUUCUCUUACAUGCCUGUUACGAGACGAUUGUGUGGCAAACAGUUCUUUACAUAUAGGACACUUUGACGGCAUUGUUUUUUUCCAAAUUCUAGAACUACACUGUGCUUUACACAUCCCGUAUACAUAACCGCAGACCUCUAAAAUUAGCUUAUUGUAAACAUAAGCAGAUGACAGAAGCCAAAUAAUGACAACGUCGGUACGGUUCGGGUAGUAUUCGCGAUGCAAAUUACCGAUGAGGGCGCUGGUGCUUGUAAGCAAAUAUGGAGGAAAGCAAGAACUCUUUCGGCAUUGACGCUUUGCUUUCCGGUGAGAAGAAACGUUUUCCCUCGUGUUGAACGGUUUGAGUAUUAUUAAAGGUAAAAAUUGUUAGUGGUUGGCGUGAAAAACAUUUGAAAUUUUGGUGUUGCGAUGAGUUCUCAAGUGUUCUUACUGUUGAGAACCGUAUUCGCUUACUUAAACGCACAUGCAGAAAGCAGAUGUGUCGUUGAAGGAGAAGAACUUUUAAAUGCUAAUCACAUUAUGUUGAUUGGCAUUACAAGUGAAACAGAUGCCACAAAAGGCAUAUUAGCCUUAUGUCUGCAAACUAGUGCGCUGAAAAGUGUGCCACAUGAACUAAAGGGUACCUUAGGACUGCAAGAAAAUAACAUAGAAAUUAAAACAUUCAAAUGCAGCUGCAAAGCUGGUUUGUCUGGGACCUGCAAACAUAUAAGUGCCGUACUGUUAAAAUGCACAAGGACCGAUAUUCUUUCACUAGAGAAGUUAUCUUCUACUGAUGUCAAAUGCUACUGGACCGACAACAAACGAAAAGUGGGGCAGGAUUAUGAACCCCAACAACUACUUAAAACAGCAUGUUUCAUUAAAAAAAAAUUUCCACAGUUGACUUAACAGCAGAACAAGGCGAAUACUGUUUCGAAACAUUGACUAAGCUUUGUAAAGAUUCUGGGUUAAGUAAGCAUUUAAAAGGACGAUCGACACAGCUAAACAAAGUCAACGGCAUCAAUACCAAUCAAUACUAUUCUUGUGAAAAUCGUCAAAAUAUUAUGGAUAAGAUGGAAAAUUCCCAAUUUUUGGAUUCUCUAAAUAUUAAAAUUUCUGAUUUUUAUGUCAGAGCCUGCUGUAAAAAAGUAUUGAAAAACGAAGUACUUACCAUCGAAAAAUAUGAAGAAAUAAUGAAUUAUCCUCAAAAAUCUGCAAUUUGGUAUAAAGAGAGACAAUUACGACUAACUGGCUCAAGAUGUUACGCAGUUUACACAUUUUCCAAAGCUGACUGGUCGGAACAAGCAAAAAACUUUUUUUGGCCUAAGGAGCUUUCAAAUAAGUACGUCGAACACUGUCUAAAGUAUAAGUCGGAGGCAUUAGAAGAGUAUAAAAUUAUAACCAAGUAUGAUGUUCGUCAGCUUGGUUUAAUUAUUUGCAAAAAUUUCCAUUUCUGGCUUAUUCACCUGAUGGUGUUGUUUUGGUUCAGGCUCAUUCUACUAGGCUAAUAGAAAUCAAAUGUCCAUAUGAAGGUAUUGAAAAAGAUGCCAUCAGCUUUGUAGAGACUUGUUCAUUUCUGGAAUUAAGUGAUACUAGAAUGACAAUAAAAAAGAAGCACCAAUAUUAUGGACAAGUCCAGCUUGGGAUGGCCAUUUUAAAUUUAGAGAUUUGUGAUGUUUUGGUGUAUUCUUCAAAAUCAAAAUCUUUUUUGAACAUUGUUGUGCCAUUCGAUAAAGAUUUUGCUGUGGAUUUGAUACACACAAUAACACAAAAAUAUUUUAACAAUUUGCUUCAUUUUGUCUGUGAACAAAAUAGGACAUUGUGAAAUAAUAUAAAUAUAUAACAUUAAUUGGCA
Long non-coding RNA from Dendroctonus ponderosae (mountain pine beetle), 2114 nucleotides. RefSeq lists it as uncharacterized. NCBI's taxonomy places the organism in Eukaryota, Metazoa, Arthropoda, Insecta, Coleoptera, Curculionidae. The record is from RefSeq and is a predicted model, not a curated record. The transcript has 5 exons.